AAGGGCACCACAAGAACGCGUGGAGCAUGUGGCUUAAUUUGACUCAACGUGGGAAAUCUUACCGGGUCCGGACACACUGAGGGUUGACAGGUGUUUGUAGCAUUUGCGCUGCUCUUUUUAAGAGUAGUUUGCAGUGCUACUAUAAAUAUGCUAGUCCUUUCAUGAUUGUGUGAUAGGUGGUGCAUGGCCGUUCUUAGUUCGUGGAGUGAUCUGUCUGCUUAAUUGCGUUUCAUAUGAGUAAUAUGGUGUUGUUUCACUUUCAAUGUGAUACUCCUUUAUUGGAUUGCUGUCCGUUGAUUGUGGCUUCACCAGAAAAUACUCUGAAGGCAACGAACGUGACCGCAACCUCUUGUUGCCUCCCAAUUUUUAUAUGCACAUAAAUUUAUUUAUGUGUAGCGGAGGGAAACUAGAGGGACUGCUGAUGAAUGUUAAACCAGAGGAAGGUUGCGGCAAUAACAGGUCUGUGAUGCCCUUAGAUGUUCCGGGCUGCACACGUGCUACAAUGAUUAUUGCAGUGAGCAUCUUACCCAAGUUCGUAUGUGCAUUAGUCAUGAUUGGGAUCUUUCGGGAUCUUUUAUUAUGCUAUGCAUACAUUACGACUAGCCUGCUUCGAAAGUAAGUAGGUAAUCAAUUCGAAGUAAUGAUUUCCUUUGCAUAAAUACAAUGUCUCUUGUGGAAACAAUCGCCCUUUGUGGUGUUGUUUUUUCUACAAUGAGACAUGUGCUCCAUUAAUUCGUGGUGGGGACAGACCAUUGUUAAUUGUUGGUCUCGUCUUAACUAGGAAUGCCUUGUACGGGUCUUGGUUCAACAAACCAC
This 816-nucleotide ribosomal RNA is filed under the name Monothalamids sp. Its description in RNAcentral is "SSU rRNA". It matches the Rfam family "Eukaryotic small subunit ribosomal RNA", at positions 1160 to 1639 of the family's 1831-position model. Lineage: Eukaryota; Foraminifera. The record is from RNAcentral.